RNAcentral lists this ribosomal RNA (301 nucleotides) under uncultured bacterium. Its description in RNAcentral is "partial 16S ribosomal RNA". It matches the Rfam family "Bacterial small subunit ribosomal RNA", at positions 509 to 807 of the family's 1533-position model. The record is from RNAcentral.
CAGCAGCCGCGGGAAUACGUAGGUGGCAAGCGUUGUCCGGAAUUAUUGGGCGUAAAAGGCUCGCAGGCGGUUUCUUAAGUCUGAUGUGAAAGCCCCCGGCUCAACCGGGGAGGGUCAUUGGAAACUGGGAAACUUGAGUGCAGAAGAGGAGAGUGGAAUUCCACGUGUAGCGGUGAAAUGCGUAGAGAUGUGGAGGAACACCAGUGGCGAAGGCGACUCUCUGGUCUGUAACUGACGCUGAGGAGCGAAAGCAUGGGGAGCGAACAGGAUUAGAUACCCCAGUAGUCCCUGUCUCUUAUAC